CCGGGAACAGCGGCGGCCGCUCCGCCGGGAGCCCCCGGGAGCCCGGGAAUUGCUCGGGAAGGCUGUGCCCGCCCGGGAUGUCCCUGCCAGCCCCGGGCAGGGCCGUGCCCGGACGGGAGCCGCUCCGGAGGCACGGGAACAUCCCGAGCCUGGAUUCCCCCUUGGAGCACCUUCCUGCUCCAGCCUUCCCGCUUCUCCCUGGCGCUUCCCAGGAGAGCAGGGGACACUGCCAGGAGCCGGACAUUGGCAGCCACCGCCUGGCGCUGCAGAGGAUGGCGGGGGACCUGCUGUCCCUGCGCCGCCGCGUUGCCAGCCUGGAGGCCGAGAACGGGCACCUGCGGCACAGCCUGGCACGGCUCCGGGAGCCGGCGCAGCUCCGCGGCACCGACCUGGACGUGCUGACCCGGGACGAGCUGCUGGACAAGCUGGGUGCGUGCCGGGCACGGGCCG
RNAcentral lists this long non-coding RNA (450 nucleotides) under Taeniopygia guttata (zebra finch). Its description in RNAcentral is "lncRNA (ENSTGUG00000027179.1)". Lineage: Eukaryota; Metazoa; Chordata; Aves; Passeriformes; Estrildidae. The record is from RNAcentral.